RNAcentral lists this microRNA (22 nucleotides) under Cavia porcellus (domestic guinea pig). RNAcentral describes it as "cpo-miR-12075-3p". The record is from miRBase by way of RNAcentral. Lineage: Eukaryota; Metazoa; Chordata; Mammalia; Rodentia; Caviidae.
AUCGGCGUCUCCUGAAGUGAAG